RNAcentral lists this ribosomal RNA (304 nucleotides) under uncultured bacterium. RNAcentral describes it as "partial 16S ribosomal RNA". It matches the Rfam family "Bacterial small subunit ribosomal RNA", at positions 506 to 809 of the family's 1533-position model. The record is from RNAcentral.
CAGCAGUAGCCACGGGAAUACGAAGGGGGCUAGCGUUGCUCGGAUUUACUGGGCGUAAAGGGCGCGUAGGCGGACAGUUUAGUCAGGGGUGAAAGCCCGGGGCUCAACCUCGGAAUUGCCUUUGAUACUGGCUGUCUUGAGUACGGGAGAGGUGAGUGGAACUCCGAGUGUAGAGGUGAAAUUCGUAGAUAUUCGGAAGAACACCAGUGGCGAAGGCGACUCACUGGCCCGUUACUGACGCUGAGGCGCGAAAGCGUGGGGAGCAAACAGGAUUAGAUACCCGCGUAGUCCCUGUCUCUUAUAA